Molecule: long non-coding RNA, 1007 nt
Organism: Sarcophilus harrisii (Tasmanian devil)
Lineage: Eukaryota; Metazoa; Chordata; Mammalia; Dasyuromorphia; Dasyuridae
Exons: 3
Source: RefSeq, a predicted model, not a curated record
ACAAACAGGGUUAAGUGACUUGCCCAAGAUCACCCAACCAGCUUGUGGAAAGUUGGAAACAUGUCAGAUAUGGGCGGCUUCUGCUACUGGAAUACCCUGAGUGUCAUCUGGAUACUCACUCAAGGGCCAUGAAGAACAAUUUUAAUCUCCUUGCUAUGUGAUAGUUCUUCAAUUAUCUGGGCCAUCUUGCCUCUCUGAUUUUUUUCAUCUCCAGGUCAAAAUUUCUCAGUUCCUUCAAUCAAUCCUCACGUUGGAAUGGUUUUCAGGUCUUUCCUGUGUGCUUUCUUUCUGGACACACAAUACUGUUUCCUAAAAUUUGAUGCUCAAAGCUGAACAUAACAUUCUAGUUGUACUCUGAUCAGAGAAGACAACAGUAUGGCCACCCCCUUCUCCUUGUAGACAAUAUAUAUGAUUAAUUCAGCCUAAGAUUGUUAGGGUUUUUAUUUUUUGACACCCAUGUCACACUGUUGAUUCAUACUGAGUUGGCAGUUUGUUAAAAAAUCCCAGAGCAUUUUCACAUGAUCUGUCUAGCCCUGUCUUCUUCAUCUCAUAUGGGUGAGAUUGAUUUUUUUGAACCCAAUACAAGUAUAAUCAAUAAACAUUUGUAACCUAAGUAUAAGACUUUUUACAUUAAUCCCUAUUAUAUUUCUUCUUAUAGGUUCACUCAUUGUUCUAGCAUGUUGAGAUCAUUUUUAUUCCUCCCUCUGUCAUGUAAUGUGUUGGCUAUCCCUCUUAGUUUUGUGUCAUCCACACAUUUGCCGUCUGUGCCUUCACCCAAGUCAGUGUUAAAAAUGGUGAGAAAAGCAGGACCAAGGACAGAUACAAAUCGACACUAUACUGGAGAUCUCCCCUAGGAUGACAUUGAUCCAAUAAUCAUUACUCUUUAGGGGGAAGUAAUUCAGUUAUUCAGAAUUUGCCUAACUCUAUGGUCUUCUGGUUCACAUAUUUCUAUCUUGUUCACAAGGAUACCAUGAGAAAUUUCAUAAAAUACAUCAAAGAAACCCAGA